UACGAAGGGGGCUAGCGUUGCUCGGAAUCACUGGGCGUAAAGGGUGCGUAGGCGGGUCGUUAAGUCCGGGGUGAAAUCCUGGAGCUCAACUCCAGAACUGCCUUUGAUACUGAAGAUCUUGAGUUCGGGAGAGGUGAGUGGAACUGCGAGUGUAGAGGUGAAAUUCGUAGAUAUUCGCAAGAACACCAGUGGCGAAGGCGGCUCACUGGCCCGAUACUGACGCUGAGGCACGAAAGCGUGGGGAGCAAACAGG
This 253-nucleotide ribosomal RNA is filed under the name uncultured bacterium. RNAcentral's name for it is "partial 16S ribosomal RNA". It matches the Rfam family "Bacterial small subunit ribosomal RNA", at positions 524 to 776 of the family's 1533-position model. The record is from RNAcentral.